GCUGAAACGUAUUAAGUCAUAAAAAAAAUUAUCCAUGAUUAUUGAUGAUGAUAUGCUUAAAGGUUAAAAUAAAUUAUGAGAUCUGUUACUUUUAUCUUCAAGAAUCACGUUAAUAGCAACUUACCACGCAGAUGAUGGAUUCUCAUCCAGUAAAAGCCAAUAAGAAGAUAUACACCAGUAAUUACACCACUGGAGGAAUGGAGGGACAAGAAUUAUCUGUGAUGGUGAAUGGCUUUA
Molecule: unclassified non-coding RNA, 237 nt
Filed under: Hevea brasiliensis (rubber tree)
Lineage: Eukaryota; Viridiplantae; Streptophyta; Magnoliopsida; Malpighiales; Euphorbiaceae
Source: RNAcentral